Molecule: non-coding RNA, 69 nt
Organism: Streptomyces violaceusniger Tu 4113
Lineage: Bacteria; Bacillati; Actinomycetota; Actinomycetes; Kitasatosporales; Streptomycetaceae
Source: Rfam
CUUCACCGAUCCCAGCCACAGCGGGCGGUCGCGGUCCCGGCCGUACGUGGCGAGCAGGGCCUGUGCCUC